This 254-nucleotide ribosomal RNA is filed under the name uncultured bacterium. RNAcentral describes it as "partial 16S ribosomal RNA". It matches the Rfam family "Bacterial small subunit ribosomal RNA", at positions 524 to 776 of the family's 1533-position model. The record is from RNAcentral.
UACGUAGGAUCCGAGCGUUAUCCGGAAUUACUGGGCGUAAAGAGUUGCGUAGGUGGUUAUGUAAGCGAAUAGUGAAAUCGUGUGGCUCAACCAUACGGCUGUUAUUCGAACUACAUGACUUGAGUGCGAGAGAGGUAACUGGAAUUUCUAGUGUAGGAGUGAAAUCCGUAGAUAUUAGAAGGAACACCAAUGGCGAAGGCAGGUUACUGGCUCGUUACUGACACUGAGGCACGAAAGCGUGGGGAGCAAACGGG